This 497-nucleotide ribosomal RNA is filed under the name uncultured bacterium. RNAcentral describes it as "partial 16S ribosomal RNA". It matches the Rfam family "Bacterial small subunit ribosomal RNA", at positions 28 to 507 of the family's 1533-position model. The record is from RNAcentral.
GAUGAACGCUGGCGGCGUGCCUAAUACAUGCAAGUCGAGCGAACGGACGAGAAGCUUGCUUCUCUGAUGUUAGCGGCGGACGGGUGAGUAACACGUGGAUAACCUACCUAUAAGACUGGGAUAACUUCGGGAAACCUGAUCUAAUACCGGAUGAUAUUUUGAACCGCAUGGUUCAAAAGUGAAAGCCGUUCUUGCUGUCACUUAUAGAUGUAUCCUCGCUGCAUUAGCUAGUUGGUAAGGUAACGGCUUACCAAGGCAACGAUGCAUAGCCGACCUGAGAGGGUGAUCGGCCACACUGGAACUGAGACACGGUCCAGACUCCUACGGGAGGCAGCAGUAGGGAAUCUUCCGCAAUGGGCGAAAGCCUGACGGAGCAACGCCGCGUGAGUGAUGAAGGUAUUCGGAUCGUAAAACUCUGUUAUUAGGGAAGAACAUAUGUGUAAGUAACUGUGCACAUCUUGACGGUACCUAAUCUGAAAGCCACGGCUAACUACGUG